This is a long non-coding RNA of Scylla paramamosain (green mud crab), 420 nucleotides long. RefSeq lists it as uncharacterized. The transcript has 3 exons. Lineage: Eukaryota; Metazoa; Arthropoda; Malacostraca; Decapoda; Portunidae. The record is from RefSeq and is a predicted model, not a curated record.
UGUGCGCCGUUAGAGGGUGUUCACUGCAUCCGACUAUUCGGUGAAGGAAAGAGAAAGGAACUGUGUAAUAGAAGAAUCAGAGACAAGUCUUGUGGAUUUGUGUAUCAAUAACAAUAGUGAUACUGGAUUUUACGAAAAGAAAAGAGAGAGAAAAAAAGUGGAUCCUAGUAUAUCAGUGCUCGUGUGUAUAAUAAUCAAGUCUGUGAGGAGAAGUAGUAGAAGAACAAGAAAAAAAAAAAAGAAAAAUGAAGGAGAAUAAGAACAAAAACAACAACCAUCUCUGUAUUCACUUGUGUCACUUCGUCUCUACAAGAACAAGCCCCACGGUUCCUCUUCCUCCUGUAAUGGGGUAAGAAUUGCAGUCAGCGUGUGUGUGUGUGUCCGUGUGUUACAACAGGAACCGUCGUGGUGGUGGGUGAG